RNAcentral lists this ribosomal RNA (497 nucleotides) under uncultured bacterium. Its description in RNAcentral is "partial 16S ribosomal RNA". It matches the Rfam family "Bacterial small subunit ribosomal RNA", at positions 28 to 507 of the family's 1533-position model. The record is from RNAcentral.
GAUGAACGCUGGCGGCGUGCCUAAUUCAUGCAAGUCGAGCGAACAGACGAGGAGCUUGCUCCUCUGACGUUAGCGGCGGACGGGUGAGUAACACGUGGAUAACCUACCUAUAAGACUGGGAUAACUUCGGGAAACCAGAGCUAAUACCGGAUAAUAUAUUGAACCGCAUGGUUCAAUAGUGAAAGACGGUUUUGCUGUCACUUAUAGAUGGAUCCGCGCCGCAUUAGCUAGUUGGUAAGGUAACGGCUUACCAAGGCAACGAUGCGUAGCCGACCUGAGAGGGUGAUCGGCCACACUGGAACUGAGACACGGUCCAGACUCCUACGGGAGGCAGCAGUAGGGAAUCUUCCGCAAUGGGCGAAAGCUUGACGGAGCAACGCCGCGUGAGUGAUGAAGGUCUUCGGAUCGUAAAACUCUGUUAUUAGGGAAGAACAAAUGUGUAAGUAACUAUGCACGUCUUGACGGUACCUAAUCAGAAAGCCACGGCUAACUACGUG